This is a long non-coding RNA of Scophthalmus maximus (turbot), 610 nucleotides long. RefSeq lists it as uncharacterized. The record is from RefSeq and is a predicted model, not a curated record. NCBI's taxonomy places the organism in Eukaryota, Metazoa, Chordata, Actinopteri, Pleuronectiformes, Scophthalmidae. The transcript has 3 exons.
GUUAAUUUUGUGCACACCCUUUUUAGGCCCAAUGUUGCUGAUGAACUCCACCUUGUUGCACCAGACAUCGAAUGCGUCCAGGAUGCUGUCAGGAUCUCCGGGGGUGGCAGUGGUGAGGACAUACUGACACACUCACCUGGUUUCUAUGAAGGUCGCUGGAAGCAGUGCAGCUGCACUGAGGAUAACAAAGAUGAACGUGGCACUUUAGCUGAGACAAGCGCAGAAAGACCAAGAGGUGUGUGUGUAAGAGAAGGACGCACAGUUGGCUUCUUGUCCAGACAUUGUAGAAUACGGCCGGCACAGUGAAAAGAAGAAGAGACAGAGGGACAGGGUGAGGCAGCGUGAAACAGAUAUUUGACAUAUCAAGUUAACAUCAACAGGUGUGUGUCUGUGUGUGGGUGUAUGGAGUCCAAUUUCUUUUGCUGUGUCAUGAUGGAAAGAUCAAGAAAAACUGCCAACACAAAAUAAAGGUUUAUCAAAUGUGACCACGGACAACAUGAAUAUAUAUUUUGUAAAUAAAAGGUAAUUUGAAUAAAUAAAAAUCAACCAUAUAUUUAAAACCUGUGAUAGUUUCACAUUAGGUACAAAUAAAAAAUAUAAAAAGGCAAUA